CCAAUAGCGUAUAUUAAAGUUGUUGCAGUUAAAAAGCUCGUAGUUGAACUUCAGGCCUGUCCAGAUGGUCCGCCUUAAUUGGUGUGUACUGUCCUUGGGUGGGUCCUACCUUCUGGCGAAGCGGCAUGGCCUUAGUUGGUUGUGUUGGGGAACCAGGACUUUUACUGUGAAAAAAUUAGAGUGUUCAAAGCAGGCAUAUA
RNAcentral lists this ribosomal RNA (200 nucleotides) under uncultured Glomus. RNAcentral's name for it is "partial small subunit ribosomal RNA". It matches the Rfam family "Eukaryotic small subunit ribosomal RNA", at positions 591 to 790 of the family's 1831-position model. Lineage: Eukaryota; Fungi; Glomeromycota; Glomeromycetes; Glomerales; Glomeraceae. The record is from RNAcentral.